CGAACGGGUGAGUAAUACAUCGGAACGUGCCCAGUAGCGGGGGAUAACCUCUCGAAAGAGAGGCUAAUACCGCAUACGACCUAUGGGUGAAAGAGGGGGAUCGCAAGACCUCUCACUAUUGGAGCGGCCGAUGUCGGAUUAGCUAGUUGGUGGGGUAAAAGCCUACCAAGGCGACGAUCCGUAGCUGGUCUGAGAGGACGGCCAGCCACACUGGAACUGAGACACGGUCCAG
RNAcentral lists this ribosomal RNA (232 nucleotides) under uncultured bacterium. RNAcentral describes it as "partial 16S ribosomal RNA". It matches the Rfam family "Bacterial small subunit ribosomal RNA", at positions 99 to 334 of the family's 1533-position model. The record is from RNAcentral.